This is a long non-coding RNA of Ipomoea nil (Japanese morning glory), 492 nucleotides long. RefSeq lists it as uncharacterized. The transcript has 2 exons. The record is from RefSeq and is a predicted model, not a curated record. Lineage: Eukaryota; Viridiplantae; Streptophyta; Magnoliopsida; Solanales; Convolvulaceae.
CUUCUGUUUAAAAUCUGGCUAAACUGAGCAGAGAAAAGCAACGCAGGAGAAAUGAAAUCAGCAAUGGAAGUAUCAACUUCAACCAAGAUCGAAACUGAAGCCAAGAAGGUCAGCACCAAACCCCCUUUCAGACCUGCUAAAGAUGACACCAAGCCACUCCUCCAAGACCCAAUAUUGAGGUCAGACCCCAUUGAGACUGAGGAAGCUGUGCUCAGAUUGCCCCCCUUUCCAGUCGCCAAACCCAAACCUUCAAUCGUUUGAUUUUUUAUUUUAUUUUUUAAUUUUAAUUUCCUGGUAAAUCGUUUGUAGUGGUUGACUGGUUGUGAUUCUUUAAUUCUAAUGAUUCACAAUCUAAGUUUUUCCUUUGCAUUGUGGUGCUUGUUUAAUUUUGAUUGGCUGCAGAUGUUUCUUUCUUUUGCAUUUUUCAAAAUUUUCCCCUUUCUUAUGAGACUUUUGCACAACUGGCUAAUACAAUUAUACAUUUUUAGCAUA